Perca flavescens (yellow perch) is the source of this 392-nucleotide long non-coding RNA. RefSeq lists it as uncharacterized. The transcript is spliced from 3 exons. Lineage: Eukaryota; Metazoa; Chordata; Actinopteri; Perciformes; Percidae. The record is from RefSeq and is a predicted model, not a curated record.
UCUAGCGCUCCAUAAACCACUCUCUGAUCACGUGCCUCUGUGAGCCAAUCAGAGUUGUUCCCUGCACCGCGGAGCUUAGUGUCUAGAUGUGGACGUCACAGAGGACAGAGGAGUAACGGGAGGAAAACUCCACAACAGCAACACGUGGAAAGCAGAAGGGAUGGCAUCAUCCGCUGCCUGAUGGAGUACCUUGGAGAGUCUGGAGAGGAACUCAUCAAAGACUAUCAGGAUGUUAGCAGAGAAGCUAUCAAAGAGGAGUAUGCUGGGCAUGUCAUGAAGAUCUUUGUCCUCCGUGAAAGUUCAGCAGGUGAGGACCACACCCCUGCAGAUGUGUCCAUCAUCAUCGAGGGAACUGAGGUGCUUGAUGAUUGCAGAUAUGUGGCAAAGGCUUG